RNAcentral lists this transfer RNA (106 nucleotides) under Rattus norvegicus (Norway rat). It matches the Rfam family "tRNA". Rfam says of the family: Transfer RNA (tRNA) molecules are approximately 80 nucleotides in length. Their secondary structure includes four short double-helical elements and three loops (D, anti-codon, and T loops). The record is from Rfam by way of RNAcentral. Lineage: Eukaryota; Metazoa; Chordata; Mammalia; Rodentia; Muridae.
GUCAGGAUGGCCGAGUGGUCUAAGGCGCCAGACUCAAGGUGCAAGCCUUACCUACGGGUGUUCUGGUCUCCGAAUGGAGGCGUGGGUUCGAAUCCCACUUCUGACA